Molecule: ribosomal RNA, 405 nt
Filed under: uncultured bacterium
Lineage: Bacteria
Description: bacterial SSU rRNA
Rfam family: Bacterial small subunit ribosomal RNA
Source: RNAcentral
UGGGGGAUAUUGCACAAUGGGGGGAACCCUGAUGCAGCGACGCCGCGUGGGCGAGGGAGCGCCUCGGCGCGUAAAGCCCUAUCGGCAGGGAAGAAGCAAGACGGUACCUGACUAAGAAGCCCCGGCUAAAUACGUGCCAGCAGCCGCGGUAAUACGUAUGGGGCAAGCGUUAUCCGGAUUCACUGGGUGUAAAGGGAGCGCAGGCGGCCUGGCAAGCCUGAUGUGAAAGACCGGGGCCCAACCCCGGGGCUGCAUUGGGAACUGGCAGGCUGGAGUGCCGGAGGGGCAGGCGGAAUUCCUAGUGUAGCGGUGAAAUGCGUAGAUAUUAGGAGGAACACCAGUGGCGAAGGCGGCCUGCUGGACGGUGACUGACGCUGAGGCUCGAAAGCGUGGGGAGCAAACAGG